This 460-nucleotide ribosomal RNA is filed under the name uncultured bacterium. Its description in RNAcentral is "partial 16S ribosomal RNA". It matches the Rfam family "Bacterial small subunit ribosomal RNA", at positions 338 to 795 of the family's 1533-position model. The record is from RNAcentral.
CCUACGGGAGGCAGCAGUGAGGAAUAUUGGUCAAUGGACGAGAGUCUGAACCAGCCAAGUAGCGUGAAGGAUGACUGCCCUAUGGGUUGUAAACUUCUUUUAUAUGGGAAUAAACUGUUCCACGUGUGGGAUUUUGUAUGUACCAUAUGAAUAAGGAUCGGCUAACUCCGUGCCAGCAGCCGCGGUAAUACGGAGAAUCCGAGCGUUAUCCGGAUUUAUUGGGGUUAAAGGGAGCGUAGGUGGAUUGUUAAGUCAGUUGUGAAAGUUUGCGGCUCAACCGUAAAAUUGCAGUUGAAACUGGCAGUCUUGAGUACAGUAGAGGUGGGCGGAAUUCGUGGUGUAGCGGUGAAAUGCUUAGAUAUCACGAAGAACUCCGAUUGCGAAGGCAGUUCACUGGACUGCAACUGACACUGAGGCUCGAAAGUGUGGGUAUCAAACAGGAUUAGAUACCCCUGUAGUC